Molecule: non-coding RNA, 1800 nt
Organism: Paramisgurnus dabryanus
Lineage: Eukaryota; Metazoa; Chordata; Actinopteri; Cypriniformes; Cobitidae
Source: RefSeq, a predicted model, not a curated record
AGAUCACACCACUGUCAGAUCGGUGUAGUUUUGUUAUUUCAGACAUCUGAACUGUUGAAGAAAAUGUUUCUCAUGUUUGUUUUUCUCUCUUUCGGCUUCACUUCUCUGGUUGGUGUGUUUGGUGAUGAAGUGAAGUCAGUGUCAGUGAUGGAGGGAGAUUCUGUUACUCUACACACUGAUACUAAACUACAGACAGAUGAUCUGAUAACAUGGAGGUUUAAAACUAAAGGGUCUCUCAUAGCUAAAAUGAAUAAAGACACCAAUACAGUCUCAAUAUAUGAUGAUGUUCUUGAUGUGAGAUUCAGAGACAGACUGCAGGUGAAUAAUCAGACUGGAGAUCUCACCAUCACAAACAUCACAACUCAACACACUGGACUUUAUCAAUUAACCAUCAACAGCAAGCAGACGAUGUCACACACAUUCAGUGUUACUGUCUAUGACUACGAUUGCUGUUGUUUUGGUCCUGAAGGUGUGAUUCGAUUGGUCGUCUCUGCUCUAGUGGGUGUGGCUACUGUUGCGGUUCUGGUUUAUGAAUUUUACAGCACCUCUGGUGGAGUUAUUGUAGUUUGUGGUUACAAUUUUAAUACAUUAUUUUAAAACAUUUUUUCCACUAUCUUUGAUGUUUUUGACCUGUAAUGUAAUAUAUUUUACAAUUUAACCAUUUUUAGAUGGACAAUAUUAGGAUCAAUAUACAAACAUACAAAUUAUGCACCUUCUUUCUAUAUCAAACAGUUAAAAUAUUGUAUUAAAAUAUAUUAUUAUAUUAUUAAUAUAUUAUUUAUUUUAAUAAUGAAUUAAUUCAAUGUGUAAGUGAAAAAUAGAGCUAGAACAUUUAAAAUUUGGGGAAUGAGUUGGUGCCAUCUGGUGGAAUUAAAAGAAAAUCCUAUAUAAUCACAUUUGUGUUUUCAACUCUCAGAGUUUUAUUGACAAAUGUGUUAAAACACACAAGGAUUUUUUUAUAUUACUUGUAAAAUGCAUUUCUAUAAAUAUAAAGAGAAUAGAGUGUCCAUUAUGUAGUAAACAGAUAUAUCAUUUGCAGGUGUUAUUUACAUGUGUACAAUUUAAGAUGUAUUUAUUGUGAUUUUAUGUGAAAAUAUGCAAUUGUUCCGAUGUCAUCAUUACGAUCAACGAAAAAUGCGCUUUUACACCUUUACUUGUUCCUAUGGCAAAAAUAAAAAUUUGACGAAACAUUGGUGCGUCUAAUGCACAAGAUAUGGAGUAUGGUAUUCCGUGCCAUUAAAGCAACACUAUGUAGUUUUUUUACCUUUAAAUAAUGUCUCUAAAAUUGUUUCAGUGAUAGAACAACUUUUAACUGGACAAAUUGUACUGCUGCUGCAACCUGAGCAGCCUCCUAGCUGCUACAAGCACACUCUGAAAGUGGCGGUGGAGGGUAGGAAACACAGCCCCGCCUCUCCCCCUGCCUGCAGAAGAGUGUCUGAUACCAGGCACUGUUGCGCUUUCAACCACAUGGGGGAGCUGUAAGUCAUUUUUACAUGGAAACUACAUAGUGUUGCUUUAAUAAACGUGCGACCCACGUGUAGGGUUGUAACAGUAUGGCGGUAUACCACGAUAUUGGCAUGUACUGUUAUCAUACCGUGGACAUUUGCUUAUCCACAGUUUUGGCCAAAAAUUUAAACAGAUCUAUGGGACAAAUUUCCCUUCAAAUGAAUUGAGGUCACGGAUAAAAAAAUAAUAUGUGUGAAUAAAAAAAUAAUACGCGCAAAUGAGAACUUUAAACAGAAUUAUAAUGCACAAAACUGGAUAAAAUGGCAUAAAAAGUUUUAUUUGUUUAUAUUAUUC